GUGAGUGUAGCUCAGGGGUAGAGCACAUGUUUAGCAUGGACAAGAUCCUGGGUUCAACCCCCAGCACUGAUA
This 72-nucleotide transfer RNA is filed under the name Camelus bactrianus (Bactrian camel). It matches the Rfam family "tRNA". From Rfam's summary of the family: Transfer RNA (tRNA) molecules are approximately 80 nucleotides in length. Their secondary structure includes four short double-helical elements and three loops (D, anti-codon, and T loops). RNAcentral also lists the same sequence under 1 other name. Lineage: Eukaryota; Metazoa; Chordata; Mammalia; Artiodactyla; Camelidae. The record is from Rfam by way of RNAcentral.